This 438-nucleotide ribosomal RNA is filed under the name uncultured bacterium. RNAcentral describes it as "partial 16S ribosomal RNA". It matches the Rfam family "Bacterial small subunit ribosomal RNA", at positions 339 to 795 of the family's 1533-position model. The record is from RNAcentral.
CUACGGGCGGCUGCAGUGGGGAAUAUUGCACAAUGGGCGAAAGCCUGAUGCAGCAACGCCGCGUGAGUGAUGAAGGCCUUCGGGUCGUAAAACUCUGUCCUCAAGGAAGAUAAUGACGGUACUUGAGGAGGAAGCCCCGGCUAACUACGUGCCAGCAGCCGCGGUAAUACGUAGGGGGCUAGCGUUAUCCGGAUUUACUGGGCGUAAAGGGUGCGUAGGUGGUUUCUUAAGUCAGGAGUGAAAGGCUACGGCUUAACCAUAGUAAGCUCUUGAAACUGGGGAACUUGAGUGCAGGAGAGGAAAGUGGAAUUCCUAGUGUAGCGGUGAAAUGCGUAGAUAUUAGGAGGAACACCAGUAGCGAAGGCGGCUUUCUGGACUGUAACUGACACUGAGGCACGAAAGCGUGGGGAGCAAACAGGAUUAGAUACCCGUGUAGUC